GCAGAAGGAAAAUGUCAGGUGGGAGCC
This 27-nucleotide non-coding RNA is filed under the name Homo sapiens (human). Lineage: Eukaryota; Metazoa; Chordata; Mammalia; Primates; Hominidae. The record is from RNAcentral.